AAGGGCGCACGGUGGAUGCCUUGGCACUAGAAGCCGAUGAAGGACGUUACUAACGACGAUAUGCUUUGGGGAGCUGUAAGUAAGCUUUGAUCCAGAGAUUUCCGAAUGGGGAAACCCAGCAUGAGUUAUGUCAUGUUAUCGAUAUGUGAAUACAUAGCAUAUCAGAAGGCACACCCGGAGAACUGAAACAUCUUAGUACCCGGAGGAAGAGAAAGAAAAUUCGAUUCCCUUAGUAGCGGCGAGCGAAACGGGAAGAGCCCAAACCAACAAGCUUGCUUGUUGGGGUUGUAGGACACUCUAUACGGAGUUACAAAGGACGACAUUAGACGAAUCAUCUGGAAAGAUGAAUCAAAGAAGGUAAUAAUCCUGUAGUCGAAAAUGUUGUCUCUCUUGAGUGGAUCCUGAGUACGACGGAGCACGUGAAAUUCCGUCGGAAUCUGGGAGGACCAUCUCCUAAGGCUAAAUACUCUCUAGUGACCGAUAGUGAACCAGUACCGUGAGGGAAAGGUGAAAAGCACCCCGGAAGGGGAGUGAAAUAGAACCUGAAACCGUGUGCUUACAAGUAGUCAGAGCCCGUUAAUGGGUGAUGGCGUGCCUUUUGUAGAAUGAACCGGCGAGUUACGAUUUGAUGCAAGGUUAAGCAGUAAAUGUGGAGCCGUAGCGAAAGCGAGUCUGAAUAGGGCGUUUAGUAUUUGGUCGUAGACCCGAAACCAGGUGAUCUACCCUUGGUCAGGUUGAAGUUCAGGUAACACUGAAUGGAGGACCGAACCGACUUACGUUGAAAAGUGAGCGGAUGAACUGAGGGUAGCGGAGAAAUUCCAAUCGAACCUGGAGAUAGCUGGUUCUCUCCGAAAUAGCUUUAGGGCUAGCCUCAAGUGAUGAUUAUUGGAGGUAGAGCACUGUUUGGACGAGGGGCCCCUCUCGGGUUACCGAAUUCAGACAAACUCCGAAUGCCAAUUAAUUUAACUUGGGAGUCAGAACAUGGGUGAUAAGGUCCGUGUUCGAAAGGGAAACAGCCCAGACCACCAGCUAAGGUCCCAAAAUAUAUGUUAAGUGGAAAAGGAUGUGGCGUUGCCCAGACAACUAGGAUGUUGGCUUAGAAGCAGCCAUCAUUUAAAGAGUGCGUAAUAGCUCACUAGUCGAGUGACACUGCGCCGAAAAUGUACCGGGGCUAAACAUAUUACCGAAGCUGUGGAUUGUCCUUUGGACAAUGGUAGGAGAGCGUUCUAAGGGCGUUGAAGCAUGAUCGUAAGGACAUGUGGAGCGCUUAGAAGUGAGAAUGCCGGUGUGAGUAGCGAAAGACGGGUGAGAAUCCCGUCCACCGAUUGACUAAGGUUUCCAGAGGAAGGCUCGUCCGCUCUGGGUUAGUCGGGUCCUAAGCUGAGGCCGACAGGCGUAGGCGAUGGAUAACAGGUUGAUAUUCCUGUACCACCUAUAAUCGUUUUAAUCGAUGGGGGGACGCAGUAGGAUAGGCGAAGCGUGCGAUUGGAUUGCACGUCUAAGCAGUAAGGCUGAGUAUUAGGCAAAUCCGGUACUCAUUAAGGCUGAGCUGUGAUGGGGAGAAGACAUUGUGUCUUCGAGUCGUUGAUUUCACACUGCCGAGAAAAGCCUCUAGAUAGAAAAUAGGUGCCCGUACCGCAAACCGACACAGGUAGUCAAGAUGAGAAUUCUAAGGUGAGCGAGCGAACUCUCGUUAAGGAACUCGGCAAAAUGACCCCGUAACUUCGGGAGAAGGGGUGCUCUUUAGGGUUAACGCCCAGAAGAGCCGCAGUGAAUAGGCCCAAGCGACUGUUUAUCAAAAACACAGGUCUCUGCUAAACCGUAAGGUGAUGUAUAGGGGCUGACGCCUGCCCGGUGCUGGAAGGUUAAGAGGAGUGGUUAGCUUCUGCGAAGCUACGAAUCGAAGCCCCAGUAAACGGCGGCCGUAACUAUAACGGUCCUAAGGUAGCGAAAUUCCUUGUCGGGUAAGUUCCGACCCGCACGAAAGGCGUAACGAUUUGGGCACUGUCUCAACGAGAGACUCGGUGAAAUCAUAGUACCUGUGAAGAUGCAGGUUACCCGCGACAGGACGGAAAGACCCCGUGGAGCUUUACUGUAGCCUGAUAUUGAAAUUCGGCACAGCUUGUACAGGAUAGGUAGGAGCCUUUGAAACGUGAGCGCUAGCUUACGUGGAGGCGCUGGUGGGAUACUACCCUAGCUGUGUUGGCUUUCUAACCCGCACCACUUAUCGUGGUGGGAGACAGUGUCAGGCGGGCAGUUUGACUGGGGCGGUCGCCUCCUAAAAGGUAACGGAGGCGCUCAAAGGUUCCCUCAGAAUGGUUGGAAAUCAUUCAUAGAGUGUAAAGGCAUAAGGGAGCUUGACUGCGAGACCUACAAGUCGAGCAGGGUCGAAAGACGGACUUAGUGAUCCGGUGGUUCCGCAUGGAAGGGCCAUCGCUCAACGGAUAAAAGCUACCCCGGGGAUAACAGGCUUAUCUCCCCAAGAGUUCACAUCGACGGGGAGGUUUGGCACCUCGAUGUCGGCUCAUCGCAUCCUGGGGCUGUAGUCGGUCCCAAGGGUUGGGCUGUUCGCCCAUUAAAGCGGUACGCGAGCUGGGUUCAGAACGUCGUGAGACAGUUCGGUCCCUAUCCGUCGUGGGCGUAGGAAAUUUGAGAGGAGCUGUCCUUAGUACGAGAGGACCGGGAUGGACAUACCUCUGGUGUACCAGUUGUCGUGCCAACGGCAUAGCUGGGUAGCUAUGUGUGGACGGGAUAAGUGCUGAAAGCAUCUAAGCAUGAAGCCCCCCUCAAGAUGAGAUUUCCCAACUUCGGUUAUAAGAUCCCUCAAAGAUGAUGAGGUUAAUAGGUUCGAGGUGGAAGCAUGGUGACAUGUGGAGCUGACGAAUACUAAUCGAUCGAAGACUUAAUCAA
Molecule: ribosomal RNA, 2910 nt
Filed under: Staphylococcus aureus subsp. aureus CIG1242
Lineage: Bacteria; Bacillati; Bacillota; Bacilli; Caryophanales; Staphylococcaceae
Description: bacterial LSU rRNA
Rfam family: Bacterial large subunit ribosomal RNA
Source: RNAcentral